GCCUGUACACCGAACGUCGGCAGGCGAUCCGCGUCGGUCAAGCGAGGUGGUAUGGUUCCCUAGAGGCCGGUUCUUGUGCUGCCUACCCCUUCAGGGGAAGCGGGCCGGUUGAUGUAAGCCUCCAUCCGGCGCCCUCCAACGGGCGCAGGAGGACAACGUAGCACCCCCCGCGUUCCACCGAGCCCUAGCCGGUCGCGUGGCGCGCGGGGACGUGCGACGCUCUCGGACCCAGCGAACGCCGUGGGCGAGGACUCGCGUCCCAGUCCCGAUAGAAGCUCCCAUAUAACGCUGACGGCCGCUCCCGUCCCCCGACCGCCCCGCGGCGCGGGGCGAGGCGCGGCGUCGCGGAGGAAUGCUACCU
RNAcentral lists this unclassified non-coding RNA (361 nucleotides) under Acacia cheelii. RNAcentral's name for it is "partial external transcribed spacer". Lineage: Eukaryota; Viridiplantae; Streptophyta; Magnoliopsida; Fabales; Fabaceae. The record is from RNAcentral.